Molecule: ribosomal RNA, 491 nt
Filed under: uncultured bacterium
Lineage: Bacteria
Description: partial 16S ribosomal RNA
Rfam family: Bacterial small subunit ribosomal RNA
Source: RNAcentral
AGUGAACGCUGGCGGUAGGCCUAACACAUGCAAGUCGAACGGCAGCACAGUAAGAGCUUGCUCUUACGGGUGGCGAGUGGCGGACGGGUGAGGAAUACAUCGGAAUCUACUUUUUCGUGGGGGAUAACGUAGGGAAACUUACGCUAAUACCGCAUACGACCUACGGGUGAAAGCAGGGGAUCUUCGGACCUUGCGCGAUUGAAUGAGCCGAUGUCGGAUUAGCUAGUUGGCGGGGUAAAGGCCCACCAAGGCGACGAUCCGUAGCUGGUCUGAGAGGAUGAUCCGCCACACUGGAACUGAGAACGGGGCCAGACCCCUAGGGGGGGCAGCAGGGGGGAAUUUUGGAAAAGGGGGGCAAGCCUGAUCCAGCCAUCCCGGGGGGGGAAAGAAGGCCUUCGGGUUGUAAAGCCCUUUUGUUGGGAAAAAAAAGCAGCAGGUUAAACCCCCGCUGUUCGGAAGGUACCAAAAAAAUAAGCACCGGCGAACUUCGG